GCCCGUCACACCAUGGGAGGUCGGAAAUGCCCGAAGUCAGUGACCCAACCGUAAGGAGGGAGCUGCCGAAGGUGGAGCCGGUAACUGGGGUGAAGUCGUAACAAGGUAGC
RNAcentral lists this ribosomal RNA (110 nucleotides) under uncultured bacterium. RNAcentral describes it as "partial 16S ribosomal RNA". It matches the Rfam family "Bacterial small subunit ribosomal RNA", at positions 1392 to 1500 of the family's 1533-position model. The record is from RNAcentral.